This is a non-coding RNA of Nothobranchius furzeri (turquoise killifish), 12616 nucleotides long. NCBI's taxonomy places the organism in Eukaryota, Metazoa, Chordata, Actinopteri, Cyprinodontiformes, Nothobranchiidae. The record is from RefSeq and is a predicted model, not a curated record.
UAAAGCCAGCCCUUCACCUCAUUCAGGCAAUCCACAGCCGGUUGCACCGACUCUUGAGGUUUAAAUGGAACAUAAAUGUUAUGCCUGUAUGGUUAAACUCUGUUCUCUUUGGGAAUAAACAUUUCCUCAACACUAAUGAUUGAACCGCGUUUCACUGAGAUGCCCCGUAGAUGGCAAAGGUUUCUCCUGCUCCCAGAAUCCUCUGCUGCCCCUUGCAUGUUCCUGUUCAACGUGUCUUCCAGUGACAGAGCGGAGAUUGGUCUGACUCUACAAUCUCUGGUCAUGAGGCCACUGAGGUGGUCAAAAAACUCCUUGGUGGUAAGGUCCCAGGAGUGGAUAACAUUCACCAGGAGUUCCUUAAGGCUCUGAGUUGUGUGGGUUGACACAGAUCUGCAUUAUUAUAUAGACAUCAGUGGCAGUUCCACUGGACUGGCAGAUUGGGAUGGUGGCCCCGCUAAUUAAAAAGGAGGAUCACAGGGUCUGUCCCAACUGCAGGGAGAUCACACUCCUGAGCCUCCCUGGUAAAGCGUAUUCAGGGGUUCUGGAGAGGAGGGUCCGUUGGUUAGUAGAACCUCAGAUUCAGGAGGAGCAAUGUGGUUUUCAUCCUAGCCGUGGAACACUGGACCAGCUCUAAACCCUUAAGGGGGGGUCCUGGACGUGUCAUUUGGAAUCUUAGUAUGUCCAAGGAAGGUCCCACCUUUCUCGCCUCUGAUUGGCUAGAAGGGCUCUCCUACGAUUGGCUAUUUCAUGUAUGAGGAAACUGUUUUCCCUCGCUGCAGGUUUUUAUGUUUACAGCCAGAUAUUGAGGAAAUUUUGGAAGAAAAUGUAAACUCAUCGCUAUGAUAAACAUCCUUUCCUGUUUUGCAACAAACCCGUUUCAGUUUCUUUCAUUAAAGAACCUGAAAAACGUCAAAUGUGAACCUGUAUUAAAUCUUGUUGCAUUUUAUUACACUGUUAGACUGACUUUUUACCUGUUGGCACUAUUGGGGUUAUCACUUACUUAUUAGGCUAUCCUAUGUAUUCACUUUAGUAGGUUAAAGCUGUUUACAAAUUAGAGCACAUCUCUAAUCAUCACUUUAAACGUGUGUCAUUUGAUAAAAAAUUAAGCUGAAGCGGAUUAUGAUUUAGACGAUCCAUCCAUCCAUUGUCUGAACCGCUUUGUCCAUGUAAGGUCGGGGGUGUGCCUAUCUCUAGUGGUCAGUGGGCAAUCAGGCGGGGUACACCCUGGACAGAGCCAGUCCAUCGCAGUGGUUUAGACUAGUUUUUCAUUAUUCUACAAAAGAAAGAAGACCUGCUGCACGCAGCUGGGCAGAAUAGUGCAGUUUUAUUAAAUUUCAUACCCAGGGAAGGCACAUGUGUUUAUCCUAUGUAUACUUAUGGAUUUUACGUUUUUCAGUUUUCAAUGAAACAUAAAACAUUUUGCAAUUCAGCACAGAAUGGUUAUUAUAGCGUUUAGUUCACAUUUUAUUUAUUAAACAGUUUUCUGCUGGUGGCAUGUGGGGACAACCGGUUUGCUGCUACAUGAAAUAGCCAAUCGUAGUAGAGCCUUUCUAGCCAAUCAUAGGCAAGAAAGGCGGGAUCUUCCUUAGACAUCCUAGUCCUGGACGGUGCGUGGAAGUUCACCCAACCAAUCUACAUGUGUUUUGUGGAUUUGGAGAAGGUGUUUGACCUUGUCCCUCGGGGGGGCCUUGUGGAAGGUACUUUGGGAGUAUGGGGUAUUGCCGACAGUAGGUCAGGCUCGUUCCUAGUGAGAGUUUGACUCCGCCAAGACUGUCCAAAAAAACUCUGACGAAGACAUGUGGGGUGUCAAAAUGUUAGCAUGUAGUCCUUUUUAUUUGCACCUGUUUAAACCUUACCGUGCUCCAGCUUUUCAGUUUUUUUUUCUUUCAUUCCAUUGUCCUCCAUUUGUUAUGGCAGCUUCACAUCAGGGCCAGCACGGACCUAGCUGGGUGGCGUUGGCCCAGGAUCCGCACCGGUAGGGUUUGUUCACUCACAACUUCUCAGGAACGGGGAAGUCUCAGAGCAUGUGGGCGGGGCAAAAGUCACACGAAAAGUCUGUGGUGUCCCCCUUAAAUGACGGCUGUGCAGUUCAAGGCACGGCAGCGCUGUGUGUGUGUGUGUGUGUGUGUGUGUGUGUGUGUGUGUGUGUGUGUGUGUGUGUGUGCACUCCUCACAGUAGUGAGGAGAGACCGGGAGCUACCACAGUUUCAGUCAGAGAUGAUGUUUAAAUCUCAUCAUCCAGAAUGAUAAUAAUCGCGCAUGCGGGAAGCUCCCGAUCCCGAGGCGUGUAUUUAAGUUGGUCAGUCAGUUGGCAGUGGGUGUGUUGGACCUGUUCAGCCCAAAGCAUACCGCCUCGGGUCAAAUAACCGACCGGUUUAGCAUGGAAAAAUACAAGGCCACCAAGAUGUGAACAUUUUAUAAACUACCCAGUCCGGUCCAUGCUGGUCCAGAUGUGAAAGUGCCAUUAGAGCACCGGCAGAGCAGAUGACGCGCAGGGUAUCAUGUUUUAUGUUCUGCUUUUCAGAGGUCAGUGCUCAAACCACUUGUGAUUUCUGAUAAAAGCCGUUGAAGCAUGUUGUUUGAUUUUUCAUUCAGUUUAUCAUUUCUUCCUCAGGUUAUUUUUGUCUUCAUUCAGUUGGACAUUACUCUAUCCUUGUGUUUGUUUAGUUUGUUGGCUCGUUGAUCACACCUUCAUUAAUUUGGUUGCUUUUUAUUGUUAUGGGUAUUAGGGGGAGAUGGGUUGGUCAGUAAUUUAUAUUCAUUUGUUUUUCUACUCUUUGGUUGCUCGUUUCAUCAUUUUUUCAGUUGUUGAUCUGGUAGAUUGUUUUGUUGUUUUAACAUUAAUCUUUUUGUUUGGUUGGUUGCUCAUUCCUCUCUUUGUUCUUCCAUGUGGUUGGUUGUUAUUUCUGUCUUACAUUUGUUUGUUCUUUCAGAAUCGAACAGAAAAAGCUAACGGCUUUCUUAUAAUAAUGUCAUACUGGUCUGAUGAUCUUAGCAGAAUACCUUCCACUAAGUGCAUUAUUUGUGCUUUAUGCAACUAGUGCUUUGUUUUCGUGUACUACGUAGAACUUGAGUCCUAAUGAGUUCUAAGAGUCUGUGUGAGUAUUUCUUGUGCUCUGAUUGAAAACUCCAGUGACUCAGCACUUUACCGCCCUCGGUAUUGCUGGCAUUUCAGGAUUCUGCUCCGUGUUUGUGAAUUUCUGGGAGGGAUGGGCGUGGUUCCAUUGUACCUUUGCCCCAUACAACAGACACAUGAUGUCCACAGGAGAUUUAUCUGCACCCGCGACAUUACACAAGCAUGUUUGACCUCUGACCUGGUGGACUGACAGGUAGGGGCUCUGCUGUCUCUUUGACUUCAUCUGGCCCCAUUCUGUCAGAAAGGCUGAAGGGGAAUUGUCUAGAGUUUUGCUUAAUUAGUGAGACAAUUGUUUUUUAUAGCUUAACUCACUUUCUCUUUCACUCACUCACACACUCACACACACAUACACACACACACACACACACACACACACACACACACACACACACACACACACACACACACACACACACACACACACACACACAGAUAAGGCUAGUGUGAGUUGUUAAGUUUGUGAGAUGUAGGACUGCAACAAACAAUUAUGUGGAUCAUCAAUGAAUCAGAUGGGGUCUCGACUCGAUUACGGUAAUCGUAUUAAACAGGAAAAUUUAAAAACUGCUAGGGAAACAUUUGUUCUCUCCUUCCUUUACUUUAUUUAACAGCAAAACAUGGUUAGAAAACAGUUUAAUAGCAAAACAACAUGCUAUCACCUAAAUAUAUCAUAAUUAAACUAUGAUCAGUAAAUUUUAUGUAUUUCAUUAACAUGAUCGGUAGUGAGCUACUAGAAAUGCUAAUAACAUUUAAUUUCUACUGCUACAAAUGUAAUGGUGACAUAUGUAUUAUAGUGGCGUGCUAUAAUUCUGCAGCAGUGUUGAGUAGAGCAGACUUGAAGCAGCAACCCGACUGCAGUAGCUCUGCUCCAUAACGCUGCAGACAGCUAAGAAUAAACGGGGUGAUGGCAACUUUUCUUCCGCUUGUAGAGUUUAGAUAUUCUCAGUUUCACGACCAUUGUCUUUUUUUGAACCCCUCUUAAUCGUGAGUCUGCUACUGGCUAGCAUUAGCUAAUCUGGCCGUAGUUACACUUUUGAUCCUGAAUCGUUUCUGCCUUUGUGUCUUGCUGGUUUCUGUUUUCCUCCAAAGCACCUAGAUUAGCACACUGUGUGCCGCUAAAAGCAUCUUCCUUACACAAUAAAAAGCAACUGACCUUUGUUCAAUAAAGUUCUGGGGGAAAGUCACUUGAAAAGAUGUUGCACCAGUGCUGCUUCUAAAAAUAGUUUAUUGCAUGUGCAACAUAAAUGUACAGCCCUGCCUAACAACGUUAAUUAAUCCGGGCCUAGGGGUGAAUUACUCUAUAAGAAUAAACAUAGUGUUUUGUAAUUUACCCAGAGAUUGAGCUCUCCCCUUCCUCAUUGAUGGCUCCGACAUGCUUGCGUUUAAGAUGCUGCAUCAUCGCCGUCGUACUCCCGUGCCAUGCCAUGUCUGAUUUACAUAUGUUGCAGGUGACAAAGGUCUUUCCAUGGUUUAACAUUAAGUGCUCCCAAACUUUUGAAGUUUUUAUUUUCUUAGGUCUUCCUGCUUCUGCCAUACAUUCCACCUACAGAUGAGCUGCACGCAUUGACUGUUAAAUAAAUUCAAUUCAAUUCAAGUUUAUUUAAAUAGCGCUAAAUCACGGCAAGAGUCGUCUCAAGGCACUUCACAUAGUAAGCAUUCCAAUACAUGUCAGUCCAUUAAGCCAAUCAGUAAAAUGUUUCCUAUAGAGCUCCAGACCCCACGUGACUCUCAGUAGACGCCAUAUUGGCAGGAAAAAAAGAUAAACAAACACGGAUGUAACCAUGAACGUGAACGGGAUCGGCUUGGAUUUUACUUCGUCGGAUUUUACUUCACACUUUAAAACCGAAUAAAUUGUUUUAUAUAGUCAGAAAUUAAAUACACUAAACAUCUCUGACCCUUACCGUGCCCCUGGGAUACUUUUUUAAAACGCCAGAAGCUGUCGGAGCGGACUUCUUACUGGACCUGGCCGGGGAACGCCUUGGGAUUUACCCGGAGGAGCUGGCCCAAGUGGCUGGGGAGAGGGAAGUCUGGGCCUCUCGACGCUACUGCCCCCGUAACCCGACUCUGGAUACGCGGAUGAAAAUGAAUGGACAAAUAACAGAUUUACACCUAAGUAGUUUAAAUAGAGUGCUGUGCUGUUUGAAUGUAUAAACUGAACGCCAAGAGAAAUCAGUAGUCUGAUUUUUUUUCCGUGAAUAAAAUAAAAAUGUCAGGCAGGAGCAUCUCAGGAUCUGUCUGAGAUCUGUCUCGGUGAGACAGAUAAUAGCAAUCCAAAGUGCUUUUUAUGUGUGAUCUGACAAUUGAUCAACCAUUGCUUAAAAAUUAAAUACAGCUUAGCUGGUUAAUUGCUGUGAUCAUAAAACACGGAAACGGCAGCACGCAGAAAUCACGAGGCAACGUUUUACGUGAUGUUUACUUGCUGCUGUGAGUAAUAAGACAGAAAAAGCCACGCCAAAAUAAGUUUAGGAAGCCUACUAAGAAUCAUAAUAAAAGUAUUUAAAAUAAAUACCAUACACAGUUGAGGAAACGUUGGUUUAAGUACCUGAUAUGAAGCGGUCGCUGCAUAAGCGAAAACCUUUACUCUCGGGAUCCCACAGCUUCAUUUCAGCCCGGUCACUAGCGCGUUUUAUUACAAUGAUCCAACGUUUGCGGCGUUCCAGAUCUUGGGGAAUCCUGUAGAUGGCUCAUUUCUUAUGUCGUCCGUGUCUGUUCUGCAUCCUGGGGCACAACAGGAAUCUACCAUAUUUCCUGUCUGAUUGAGUUUUCUGACGAUUACAAAUAGUCCAGCUGCCGGCUUCUACCUGCCAAUAUGACGCAGUUUCUAUUUGAACUGUUGCAUGCUGGGAGAAGUGACGUCAACUCCCGGAGCUCUAUAUAAGGAACCCAGCUAAUUGCUUCAAGUCACUGACCGGUGUCAGCAACUUUGCAGCAUUCCUCAUACUAGGCAAGCAUUUAGCGACAGUGGAGAGGAAAACUCCCUUUUAACAGGAAGAAACCUCCAGAGGAUCCUGGCUCAGUAUAAGCAGCCAUCCUCCACGACUUACUGGAGAUCGAGAAGACAGAGCAGACACAUGCAUUCAAUUCAAUUCAAUUCAAAAAUACUUUGUUAAUCCCAGAAGGAAAUUGAUUGCUGUAGUAGCUCAGAAUAAUAAUAAUAAUAAUAAUCAAGUCAUCAAAGAGUUGUUGUAUAUUACAAUGGCUGUUGGCAGGAAGGAUCUCCAGUAGCGGUCAGUGUUGCAGCGAAACUGAAGAAGCCUCUGACUGAAGACACUCUUCCGUUGUCGGACAGCCUUGUGAAGAGAAUGCUCAGGGUUGUCCAUAAUUUCUUGAUUCUCUGGAGAAUCCUUCUUUGCAUUAUCUCCUCCAGUGGUUCCACAGUCGUCCCCAGAACAGAAUCAGCCUUUUUUAUUAGGCUGCUGAGCCUUUUCAGGUCCCUGCUUCCUAAUGCUACUACCCCAACAGACAAUAGCUGAAGAGAUUACACUCUCAACAACAGACUUGUAGAAGAUCUGCAGCAUCUUGCUACAGACACUGAAGGACCUAAGCGUCCUCAAGAAGUGCAGUCUGCUGUGUCCCUUCUUGAAAACAGCUUCACUGCUCUUUCUCCAGUCCAGUCUGUUGUCCAGGUGAACUUGUAUUCCUCAACCCCCUCCACUUCUUCUCCCAUGAUGGAAACAGUGUUUGACUUCACCCUGUUUCUUCAGACUCUACCAGAGUGCAGAAAAAAGAGUGCAAGCAUAGAGGGGAGUGCAGAAAGUGAGUGCAGUGGAGUACAGGAAGUUAAGUAUACGUGCUAUGGUAGGGUCUUAAUGUUUAAGUCUUAGUUUUUACUGUCAUGUCCCAGGCCUUUCCAAAUGAAGCAGGGUACAAAUGGCUCCUUAAUGAGGAAAAACACACUAAAGGCUUUAGGUUAGGUAUUGCUGGUCCUGAUGUCGUUCUGAAUGCUCAAGGAGUUGGUUUUGGGAGAACAGUAGUGUCGUUUAGAACAAAGAUAGGCAGAGAUUAUAUGAGACAGAAUAAACAAAAUCCCAACCAGGAGUUGAAGAAGAUUUCUAGAUGCAGAUUUGAGUCAUCGGGCUGCUAAAUCUUAAGAACCACAUUUUUGUCUAAUAUUGUAAAAUACUAUUAACAUAUAACAAGAGUAUUUCCUCUCUUGUUCAGAGGACAAAAAUACUUGCAACCAAAGAUUUGGAUUAACUAAGUUUCCCAGAGACAUUCACUUUUUUCAGAAAUCCUUCCUGUCUGGGUUCCCCUGCACGCUGAAAAUUAAUCCAGGAUAAAACAAACUCUUCUAUUAAAGGCUCUAGCAGACUUUAAGCAACUAUAUGUUUGGGUUAAAACUGCCACAUUUAUUUUUACAGUUCAAAAUUUUGACAUAACUCUAUGAAUUCAGUUUUUUAAUUAGUUUUAUUUGUUAAAAAUUCAUGAAUUAUCUUUAUCGUAUGAAACUGUCAGUGCUCCACAAAUAAACUCAAAUCAGUUUCCGCAAAGAUCUUAGAGAAUUCAGAUGUUUUCUUUUUUCUUCAGAACCAGCUGAAGCAGGUAUCUGUUUAUUCCAUAUUUAGGAGCAGCCACUGUGUGUGACCUCUAACCUCCAUGUGGGCGGAGCCUGUGAUAACAAUAAUAAAACUAGUCGUUGGGUGGUGCCUCUUGACGAUACAGCUACUGGAAAAGGAUGAUGCCUCACAUCGAGGGUGUGAGAACCACAUCCGCUUUCCCACAAUGCAUUGUGUACAGAGAGAGAGGGUGUGGGCGGGUGGGGACAAGCGGGCACUGAGACAGAGUUGCUCUUUGCCUCUGGCAUCACCAUGGAGAUGAAGACUCCUCACAUAGACUCUUGGCUGCUCCUUUCUACUGCUGUUUAUCAUUCAGUUCAUAUGUUGGAGUCCAACAGGAAGUGGAACUUAUUCAUUCAUGGAGUGGUGAUGGAUGGUGUGUAGUCCUGACAUGUGAAUCAGAAGUUAGAGCAAGGCACUAACACUGCCAGGGUUGUUGGUUCAAAUCUGGAUGCAGUUCACAAUAUAAGUGGAUGGUACUUUCCCCUGCUGCUUCCUCUCAUCGAUCCAGCAUUGCUGGGAUUCUGUCCAGCUGCCUCGGAUAUUAGAGGACUGGGCUUCACACACGCGCGCGCACACACACACACACACACACACACACACGAACACACAUAUACACAGUAGCAAACACUCAGCUGCCAGGGUGUUAAUCGUUCAUCCUGGAGUCAAGGAAAUGCUAACAAACACAACAGGAAUGGGUUCUCUGAGGACACCCCACUUGUACACACACACACACACACACACACACACACCCAAACUGAGACACACCUACAGCAUGCGUAAGUAGCCCAGCAGAUCCACAGUUCGCUGGUAUGUGGGUGUGUACUUCCGUCUCUUUACCUACCUUUUCCAACUUGUUUCAAGGAGACACACCCACUUUGUUGUGUAGGACAGGACACACACACAGUGAAAGGCAAAGAGGAGUGUGUACUGUGACUCUGUCACUGUCAGGAAACACUGAGAAGCUACCACUUAAAGCAGCUGCUGAAUGGAUGUUGUGAGGCCGGACAUAAUAACCACAGACAGGAAAUACUCAAUCAGUUUCGUCACUACUAACAAGUUACUGUGGACUUAUUUUGAUAGGAGGGAGGCCCUACUCAAAAAUCAUGAAGGACCAUUGGGAGGAGAUGAAGGGGACGUGUAGACAUGAUGGCCCAGGAUCAGCAUGGACGGAUUCACCGGAGAUGACUCGGAUAAUGACAUCAGGCAUCAGUACAGCAGGAACAGGAAGUCCUGUGUGAACGCUUCAUCUCUGUGUCACUUCCUGAGAGGAAAUAGAACCAGAAGCUGGAGAAAAAGGCGGUGGCAACAAGUCUCACCUCCACUGUGUGUGUGUGUUUGUGUGUGUGUGUGUGUGUGUGUGUGUGUGUGUGUGUGUGUGUGUGUGUGUGUGUGUGUGUGUGUGUGUGUGUGUGUGUGUGUGUGUGUGUGUGUGGUGCACUUUCACUGUCUUUUUGCUCAUUUAGGACCCCUUUAAUGCUUUUGGACUACAUCAUCAUCACUGUUUUUAAUGUUUAGACCAGACGUAGCUUCUUUGUGGAGAUGAAGACUGAACUACAUUUAUCGCCACACACCAGAAAAGGACCUGGGGCCUCAUUUAUCAAGCUUGCUUACGCACAAAACAGGGUCAGAAAACUGCGUAAGCAACUUUCCACACAAACUUUGGGAUUUAUGAAAGAAAACUUAGCGGGAAAAUGUGUGCAACUUUAAGUUGACUAAGGAGCUGGCUUACGCACAUUUUGGACAUGGAGAGCACCUGCAGUGCUGCUGCUAAGAAGGAUAAAAUUAUGAAAUCCUGCAGCAUUAUCACUUGUACUGCUUCAUUUUCACACAGAACAAGACCCCCCCACAUGCACACACACGCACACACAGCCUGAAGCGCAUAAUACAGAAUGCAGAAUAUCAGCAGGGGGACAGAUUGAGACAGAAUGUCAUGCGUCUGUGACAGUGUGUGUCCUGUCACUGUGACCCGAUUAAUCAUGCGCCCUGGCUAGUUUAACAAGGGAAAUCUCAGUUUGGCUGACUGGUUAAAGUGUGUGACUUUCACCUGGGAGUCUGGGGAUCAAAUCCCGAUUAGACCAUUUUUUUUAUAUCCGCCACAGAUCUCUCUGAAGAAUUCACAACAUUGACGGCUUCAGCAACACUGUGCCACUCCGUGGAUUUUCUCUUAUUUGUUUUGCAAAAGCACUUCCUUUCAUUUCUCCACCUCACCCACAAGUACCUCAAUUUCUGCUUGUGAAAUUGUGCUUCCUUGAUCUGCCUUGAUCUACGGUCGCCAUCGUCAUUGGCGGAGCGUUGCAACAGCCGGCUUAUGUAUACGCAUGAGAUCCAUAAGGCACUUUGCAUUGACUAUUUAUGGCAGUAAGUGGACGUGGUGAGGGCGGGAUGUGACUAAAAUGCAGCUGAGAAACUUUCUAGAUAGUUUCUGAUUUGUGAAGCAGAGAUUGCGUGCAGCUGUGCGUACUCCAUGUUUGAUAGAUCACAAACCUACUUGGCGUAAGUACUUUUUUUUUUGCUGAGCUUAAGUACGGUUUUAGUGAGGAUUCUACGCAAUGUUUGAUAAAUGAGACCCCAGGUUGCUGAUGAAGAAUCAAGCUUUAAGGAAUUUUUAUUUUCACUUUUACCACACAUUCAGGACUACCUGCCACUUUUUAGCCCGUUUCCUACAGUUUUAAAUGUUGGCUUUGAGGUUUUCAUGUAAUGGUUUGUUUUGUGGUGAGAGAAGAUUUCUGUUUGAUCUCCUUGCAGUUAACAGAGUGGAGAGGAUGGCCUCGUCGCCAUAGUAACCAUAAUGAAGAGGAGCAUCUAGAAUCUAGAUGCACUGUUGCCCUCUUGUGCCCAAAAGUAGAAUAACAGGAUAAAACCUGCAGUUUUGAGGACAUCAUGAUUAAAAUAUCGUGGGUUUAAGAACCUAUUUUGUGAAGUGAGAUCAUGUGAUCUGUAGAUCCAGAGCUGACACUCCCACAUUCCUUCAUACUCUUAUUUUUUUUCUUCUAGCUUCACAUCAGAGCUUCUUUUUUUUUACCUGAAUGAGCAGAAUGUGAUCAUGUCUAUAAUCCAGAUCACCCGGCAGUCUCCUUUCAAAUGGCUCAAGACAGUGUGAAGCAUGCAUCUCAGGGCCUUGUGGCUUUGUUGUCAUGACGACAGUUGAUUAUAUAAGAGCUGGGCACCAGUUCACAGAGAAAUGUGUAGAAGUCUUAGUGCUGUGACAUGAGACACCACACACACACACACACACACACACACACACACACACACACACACACACACACACACACACACAUAACCAGCUGUUUGUUGGAUUGUUUGUAUAAACUACAACAUGGGUAUGAGAAAACAUGGAUUGUACUAAUUUAGGUAAUAUUAGUGGAUAUGCAUUUUCUACCACUUAGAAAAGGACUGGUCCUUGAGGAAUCAGGUCUAGAAGGUAAACUCAGGCCUCCCUCUCCCCAGAGGCUCCCUCCAUCUCUUGUGGGAUACCACUGUGUUCAUAGAGGAUCUGGAAUACCUCCAGUGAGUUUUGGGCCUGGUCAGGUCUUUUCCCAGCAUCUGGAAAAGCACCAGAGGGAGGUACCCAGGAGAUGCUUUAUUCCUCCAUCACUCAGGAACAACACCCCAGUUUUCAAGCAGUUCUUGGUGAAGGGCAUGAUGACUGUAAUUAUAGUGUUCAGUUUUAAUCUACCUUCAUCCCAAUUCAAUCCAAAUUUAUUGAUUCCAAAAUGUUUCUAUGGGACAAAGAGGGAUCUAGUUCAGAGAGAACAGAUUACCUUGUACCUUUAGUUGAGUUGAUUCCAGUUCAGCUGACAUUCUAAGGGUUAGCCAGCAUUGCAAACACGUGCAUGCGUGUUGUGUGUCAUGGCAUGCUGCCACACAUGCUCUACAGUGAUUAUAGGCAUUGGGGAGUGUUUAUGGUUUUCUCACAAACACUAAUGCAGGUACACACGUGGAGCAGCAGUGGCUCAACAGGGAUUAGAGGGUUUCCACUGAUCACAAAGUGAGCGGUUCGACCCCAUGCAUCUUAUUGAAGUGCCCAUGGGCAAAAUACCAAAUCCUGAUAGUUUCCCCCUCGACAGCACUUGCGAUCCACAUGGAGGGAUCAAAUCAUUUCAAGGAUCAAUACACUGUCGAUUUAUGAGCCUGAACUGAGUGACUUCUGGCUGUUAGCCAGGGUUUGUGAUGUUGCCAGUAACUGAAAACAAGUAAAUCACUGUCAAGAGCUGUCAGCCUGGUUCUGUUUGGAUAUAUGCCCACUGCCGGAGGUGCCAACUGGCCGUGACACUGCUGCCAUGACAACAGCAUUAAUGUUUAGUUUUCUUCUUAAGAAGAGGCACUGUCACCAUCAUCUCCUCCUCAUUUACCAACAUACACACACAGAUGUACAGAGGUUUUAAUGACUCAAUAUUUUUCCCACUUUGCAAUUUGCAUAAACUCCACCAUGUUAUGAAUAGUGAUCAGACGAGUUGUGAUAACAUGUCCCAAGUUUCUCUGAACCUGGAUCUGAAUGAAGUUCCAUCUUAAUCAUGUUUAAAAACGACUGAUCCUUCAGUGCCUGCUGAAUCCUGACUGGCUCUUAAUCCUAAUCUAGUCUGGAAAUAACUUGGUGUUCCUCUCAUCAUCAUACAAAAUACCAGUAAGUAGGCCAAAUUGACAUUUCUUAUUAACUUUUCAAAAGAACCUUCUCUAACAAGGGUAUUUCCAUAGUGUUCACCUUGGGAUGUAGUCCCGUGAACAACCAGCUUUUAGUUGUGGAACACAUUCAAACCAUUUUAAAUAUGUUGAUGUCAGCAUCAUCUACACAUCACGUGUGUGUCAUUUGUAACAACUUCACCAGUGAUGAUUCCUCUAAAGAAAACAUGACAAAAAUCUGUGAAUUUCACUACUGUUGGUUUUUUAUUUAAAAAAAAAACAGAAACCUGUUUAAUUAUAA